This 388-nucleotide ribosomal RNA is filed under the name uncultured bacterium. Its description in RNAcentral is "bacterial SSU rRNA". It matches the Rfam family "Bacterial small subunit ribosomal RNA", at positions 28 to 417 of the family's 1533-position model. The record is from RNAcentral.
GACGAACGCUGGCGGCGUGCUUAACACAUGCAAGUCGAGCGGUAAGGCCCUUUCGGGGGUACACGAGCGGCGAACGGGUGAGUAACACGUGGGUGACCUGCCCUCAGCUCUGGGAUAAGCCUGGGAAACCGGGUCUAAUACUGGAUAUGACUCCAUGACGCAUGUUGUGGGGUGAAAGCCUUGUGCGGCUGAGGAUGGGCCCGCGGCCUAUCAGCUUGCUGGUGGGGUGAUGGCCUACCAAGGCGACGACGGGUAGCCGGCCUGAGAGGGCGACCGGCCACACUGGGACUGAGACACGGCCCAGACUCCUACGGGAGGCAGCAGUGGGGAAUCUUGCGCGAAUGGGCGAAAGCCUGACGCAGCGACGCCGCGUGAGGGAUGACGGCCU